ACUCUCGGCAACGGAUAUCUCGGCUCACGCAUCGAUGAAGAMCGUAGCAAAAUGCGAUACUUGGUGUGAAUUGCAGAAUCCCGUGAACCAUCGAGUUUUUGAACGCAAGUUGCGCCCAAAGCCAUUUGGUUGAGGGCACGUCUGCCUGGGCGUCACUCAUCGUGUCGC
Molecule: ribosomal RNA, 168 nt
Filed under: Erato vulcanica
Lineage: Eukaryota; Viridiplantae; Streptophyta; Magnoliopsida; Asterales; Asteraceae
Description: 5.8S ribosomal RNA
Rfam family: 5.8S ribosomal RNA
About the family: 5.8S ribosomal RNA (5.8S rRNA) is a component of the large subunit of the eukaryotic ribosome. It is transcribed by RNA polymerase I as part of the 45S precursor that also contains 18S and 28S rRNA.
Source: RNAcentral